AGUGAACGCUGGCGGUAGGCCUAACACAUGCAAGUCGAACGGCAGCACAGUAAGAGCUUGCUCUUACGGGUGGCGAGUGGCGGACGGGUGAGGAAUACAUCGGAAUCUACUUUUUCGUGGGGGAUAACGUAGGGAAACUUACGCUAAUACCGCAUACGACCUACGGGUGAAAGCAGGGGAUCUUCGGACCUUGCGCGAUUGAAUGAGCCGAUGUCGCAUUAGCUAGUUGGCGGGGUAAAGGCCCACCAAGGCGACGAUCCGUAGCUGGUCUGAGAGGAUGAUCAGCCACACUGGAACUGAGACACGGUCCAGACUCCUACGGGAGGCAGCAGUGGGGAAUAUUGGACAAUGGGCGCAAGCCUGAUCCAGCCAUACCGCGUGGGUGAAGAAGGCCUUCGGGUUGUAAAGCCCUUUUGUUGGGAAAGAAAAGCAGCAGGUUAAUACCCCGCUGUUCUGACGGUACCCAAAGAAUAAGCACCGGCUAACUUCGCG
This 492-nucleotide ribosomal RNA is filed under the name uncultured bacterium. Its description in RNAcentral is "partial 16S ribosomal RNA". It matches the Rfam family "Bacterial small subunit ribosomal RNA", at positions 29 to 507 of the family's 1533-position model. The record is from RNAcentral.